CUGGCGGGCAUGCUUAACACAUGCAAGUCGAACGGAAACGAUGCUAGCUUGCUAGCAGGCGUCGAGUGGCGGACGGGUGAGUAAUGCAUAGGAAUCUACCUAAUAGUGGGGGNCAACCUGGUGAAAACCAGGCUAAUACCGCAUAAUCCCUACGGGGCAAAGCAGGGGACCUUCGGGCCUUGCGCUAAUAGAUGAGCCUAUGUCGGAUUAGCUAGUUGGUGAGGUAAUGGCUCACCAAGGCAACGAUCCGUAGCUGGUUUGAGAGGAUGAUCAGCCACNCUGGGANUGAGACACGGCCCAGACUCCUACGGGAGGCAGCAGUGGGGAAUAUUGCACAAUGGAGGAAACUCUGAUGCAGCAAUGCCGCGUGUGUGAAGAAGGCCUUAGGGUUGUAAAGCACUUUCAGUAGGGAGGAAAAGUUUAAGGUUAAUAACCUUAGGCCCUGACGUUACCUACAGAAGAAGCACCGGCUAACUCCGUGCCAGCAGCCGCGGUAAUAC
Molecule: ribosomal RNA, 500 nt
Filed under: uncultured Gammaproteobacteria bacterium
Lineage: Bacteria; Pseudomonadati; Pseudomonadota; Gammaproteobacteria
Description: bacterial SSU rRNA
Rfam family: Bacterial small subunit ribosomal RNA
Source: RNAcentral